RNAcentral lists this ribosomal RNA (253 nucleotides) under uncultured bacterium. RNAcentral describes it as "partial 16S ribosomal RNA". It matches the Rfam family "Bacterial small subunit ribosomal RNA", at positions 524 to 776 of the family's 1533-position model. The record is from RNAcentral.
UACGUAGGCAGCAAGCGUUGUUCGGAGUUACUGGGCGUAAAGGGUGUGUAGGCGGUUCUUUAAGUUUGGUGUGAAAUCUCCCGGCUUAACUGGGAGGGUGCGCCGGAUACUGAGGGACUAGAGUGCGGGAGAGGAAAGUGGAAUUCCUGGUGUAGCGGUGAAAUGCGUAGAUAUCAGGAGGAACACCGGUGGUGUAAACGGCUUUCUGGACCGUAACUGACGCUGAGGCACGAAAGCGUGGGGGGCAAACAGG